This 438-nucleotide ribosomal RNA is filed under the name Macugonalia picta. RNAcentral describes it as "partial large subunit ribosomal RNA". Lineage: Eukaryota; Metazoa; Arthropoda; Insecta; Hemiptera; Cicadellidae. The record is from RNAcentral.
UCCUGCCCCAUGAUUAAUUAAAUGGCUGCAGUAUUUUGACUGUGCAAAGGUAGCAUAAUAAUUAGUCUUUUAAUUGAAGGCUUGUAUGAAUGGAUUAAUGAAAAUUUAAUUUUAUUUAUUUAAUAAUUUGAAUUUAAUUUUUAAGUAAUAAAGCUUAAUUUAUUUUUUGGGACGAUAAGACCCUAUAGAACUUUAUUUUUAAUUAAAUUUGAAUUAAUUUUGGUUUAAAUAAUUUUAUUAAUUUGCUUAAUUUUUUUGUUGGGGUGAUAAAUAAAUUUUACUUUAUUUUAUUUAAUCAUUUAUUUAUGUUUAAUUGAUCCAUAUUUUGAUUAUAAGAUUUAGUUACCUUAGGGAUAACAGCGUAAUUUUAAUGGGGAGUUCAUAUCUAUAUUAAAGUUUGCGACCUCGAUGUUGAAUUAAGAUAAGAUUGAGGGGUAG